This 70-nucleotide transfer RNA is filed under the name Rasbora myersi (silver rasbora). RNAcentral's name for it is "tRNA-Arg". It matches the Rfam family "tRNA". From Rfam's summary of the family: Transfer RNA (tRNA) molecules are approximately 80 nucleotides in length. Their secondary structure includes four short double-helical elements and three loops (D, anti-codon, and T loops). Further hydrogen bonds mediate the characteristic L-shaped molecular structure. tRNAs have two regions of fundamental functional importance: the anti-codon, which is responsible for specific mRNA codon recognition, and the 3' end, to which the tRNAs corresponding amino acid is attached (by aminoacyl-tRNA synthetases). tRNAs cope with the degeneracy of the genetic code in two manners: having more than one tRNA (with a specific anti-codon) for a particular amino acid; and 'wobble' base-pairing, i.e. permitting non-standard base-pairing at the 3rd anti-codon position. The record is from RNAcentral. Lineage: Eukaryota; Metazoa; Chordata; Actinopteri; Cypriniformes; Danionidae.
AGGGAGCUAAUCCAAAACAAGAUCUCUGAUUUCGGCUCAGAAAAUCGUGGUUUAAUUCCACGGCCCCCUU